UUAGGUUUAAUGAUAAUCAAAAAAAAAGAAUAUGCGGAAAGUCAUAGUCAUUACGUAGGAGGGCCACGGGAAGGAUGACGACGACGUCGAAGACGAUGACGAUGAUAGUAAGGAAGUAUGUAUUUCACUCUUUAGAAUGGCAGGAAACGGAUGGAUCCGACUCGACGAUGGCGAUGUACCAAAUGUUACGUGUCUCUCUUUUUCUCUUUUAAUCUUUCUCUCUCUUUCUCUCUCCUCUCUUUUUCUGUCGCCAUGCAUCGAUGCACGACGCGUUAAACGUCUAAUAAAUAAUACUACUAAUGAUAAUAACGACAACAACAAUAAUAAUAAUAAACACAUAACCUUCUUCUCUUUGCAUUUCCGUAUGCAAUAAAACUCCUCGCGCUAGCUUGGUUAAACGAGAACUAGGGAUUAUCGAAAUCAUUGGAAAUUCGUUCGAUUAACUUACUCUCGAUUAUCUUCAACGCAGGUCAUCGAGCCUUCGCGUAAACACACGCUCGUACUACGAUCAAACGAUACGAUCUCUCGCGAUGAAAUUACGUAAGUCGUGUCGAUUUAUCGCAGCGAUAUCUCGAAGCAUAAUGCGAUUCAUUUAUCGUGAGAGCGAUAAGUAUCAGGUCAGGUGAGUUUAUGUCUGUUAUCAAGACCAUCCCAUUCUAUUUUUUUCUUUUUUUUUCUUUUUCUUUUUUCUUCUCUUUUUUUUCUUUUUCUCUUUUUUUCUCGGAUGAAUUUUCUUUUAACGGCCGAGCGAUUAGCCUAUUUGCUUUGCAAUUAGACUUUUUUCUUUUGCUCCUUUUUCUUUUUUCUUUCUUUUUCAUUUUUUUUUGCAGGAAGAACAAAUAACGAAGACGACGCAUCGUCGUUGGUGGUGGUAAAUUGCUCGAUUAACCGUGUAAUUAAGUCGGCUUCUCUUGACGAACGAAAAUACGGAAAUUACAUGGUUCCAUCGUACGUACGUAUAUACAUCAUACAUACACAUAUAUAUACGUCUAGUUGCAUAUAUACAACUGACUGCUUUCUUUUCAAUUUUUUCUUGCCUUUUUUCUUCGUGUUUCUUUUUUUCUUUUGCCUUUUCCUUUUCUUUUUUUUUCGUCCAUUCCAAAAGGAGCCGUCUGUUAAAGCUCGAACGUCGUUGCAACGCGCUUACGCACGUUCUAUCAUUAUGGCCGGUAAUGGCCGGUAAUCGCGCACACCAACAGAACCAUUUUACGGUGCUAUUUUGCGCGCAAGGGAAACGAGGGCCCGGUUCUCCUGUGUGAGGAUUUAAAACGAUCCAUGGUAGGUGGAGGGAGAGAUGGUCAAAAAUAUUUGACGUCAUUGACGAUACGUUAUCCGAAAGUAUCGACGUCCUAUGCGAGUAGCAUGCUUUUAUACAUGCACCUAUACUGUGUGUAUUCAUAUAUGUAUAUGACCGAGCACCCUUCCCGUCCAACAAAUUCCCUCUACGUUAUCGCCGGAAAUGAAAUUCUUGGGUAAAUCCUUCGAAUCUUAUCCUCGAACCUAUCGCUUCCUUUCGCACGAUAAAGAAUAAUGCGUUCUUUAUGCAUUCGCUCGAAUUUCGUUUCGAAUUUAAAAGAAGAAAGAAAAGAAGGAAAAGAGAAGAAAAAAUAUAUACAAAAAAAUCGAUCGUCUUAGAAAAUAAUAAAGAAAAGGUGCGUAGGUAGAAAGGUCUCGUCAAAAUCCGCAAACUUUUGCAAAUUCUGAACGGAAGAAGAAGAAGAAAGGACAAAAGGAAAAGAAGAAAAAGAAGUAGAAUAAUUUCGUUCUUUCAUCGAUUGGAAAGAGUCACGUAUUGCAUCAUAAUUGUUUGUAUACACGUUCCUCGUGCGGUCUGUUCCUUUUGCGUGCCUGUUCAUUGAUAAUGUAAAACAUUACAGGAAUGGGUGUCUCUUAUCGGUCUACAACGAAACUCUUUUAUACGUUAAGGCACGCGACUUAUCGGACGUUAUCUGACGCAUUAUGAAAGGAUCGAAGAUAAGUGGCUCUUAUAUGUAUACAUACAUCUUAUACAUAUAUACAUAACUACUUACGUACAUAAAUGUAUUAUAUACGUACGUACGUACGUACGUAUGUAUGUAUGUAUGGAUGGAUGGAUGUACAUAAAUACGAACGGGGCUCGAUAAAGUGCUAAUUUAUGUGUCUAAUAGUGUAUCGUGCAAAUUAGUCCUUGAAAAAUGUUUUAAUGUUUUUAUACGCAAUGUCGUAUAGUAACAUAUAUAUAUAUAUAUGUAUGUAUGUAUGUAUGUAUGUAUGUAUGUGUGUGUGUACGAAAGAAAAAGGAUAGUCAAGAAUGUGAUCUUUUUAAAAGGAAAAAGAAAAGACAAAGUAGAUAAAACAAUAUAAAAGAAAAAUUAAAAAGAAAAAAAAAGAAAGAACGGAGGGAACCAAAUUAAAAUCGCGCUGUUAGUGAACGCUGCAAUUUCAUUCUCGAUCGAGAAAGUCUCGUAAUCGCGAUUUAAAUAAACACGAUGAAUAUCGUGUCGUGGAAUGAGAUGAAGAAAGAAAGUCGAUGACGAGAUACGUUUUGCGAGAUAGAGAAAGAGAGAGAGAGAGCCAAGCGCGAAAAAUGAUCGCGAUCUCUGCCGUAUAAGUAUCUCUAAGUACAUAUAUACAUACAUACAUACAUACAUACAUACAUACAUACAUACAUACAUACAUACAUAUAUAUAUAUAUUCACGUAUAAAUGUAUCGGUGUACGUGAUACGAUCGUCUAUACGUGUACGAUGACGUAGAGAGAAAUAUCACGUACGAAUGUGGAGCAUUAUCGGCGGUAACCAAUCGAAGAGAAAUCGUGUGCGUUUAUGUGUUACUACGCGGCUCGCGACCGGCUCGAUCAACCGAACGAACGCGUGAAUGGAACUGGUGUGUUGUGUUGUGGUGGUGGUGAUGUGGUGGUGGUGGUGGUAGUAGUAGUAGUGGUGAUGGUGGUGGUGGUAGAGUGCUGAAGCUAGAAGGAAAAAAUAUGAAUGAAGUCGUGGUAGUGACAGUCGCGUACGUACGGGCUUUACGUUCUUAACGCGCAUGCGUCCUGACGUAACGCACGUAGCACGUGCAUCGUUCCGUGCCAUUCAGCGUGAACGCGUAAUGCUAUGCACGACACGACUACUUACAACGACUGACGACUACACAACGACGACGACACGACGACGACGACGAUGAUCGUCGAAGAUAGACACCACACCACAUCGAAUCACAGCAACGUGGACGACAAAGACGACUAUGUCGAGAAUCAACGGAAGUAGGGAACUGGGAUACGGGUCAAAGAGUCCGGAAGGAGCCAGGAAUUCGAUUCUUUAAUAUUACAAGCCGAGAUUCAAGGACGUCGACCGGUCUCUCGUCUACGAAGUAAAGAAAAAUCGAUGGGGGAUAGUAGACGGCAUGGGAAGUCGAGGUAGACUUCCCAAGCGGGGAAUCAUCGAGGGAGGAAGCCCAUCCGUCCGGAGGGGCUUUCACAAAACCCUAUUCACUGGAUAAAUGAAUGAAGAUGAAAAAGAAAAAAAAAGAGAGAAAGAGAGACAGAUAGAUAUAUGGACAGAUAGAGAUAGAUAGAUAGAUACACCGAUAGAUAGAUAAAUAGAGAGAGAGAGAGAGAGAGAGAGAGAAAAAAGCCGAGCAAAACAUACGACCCAUAAUUUAAUUAUAAUUAACUUCCGUCGAUAUAUUACAUUAUAUAAUUCAAUCGUGCCCACGCAAUAGCGCUCCUUUUCCGGCAUAACUUGACUUGCCUGGUAUUAACGCGUGGAGGAGUUAGAAAGAGAAAGAAAGAAAGAAAGAAAGAUAUAUAGAAUAGAUGAAGUAGCUCAAGAAACACGUUAUACACGUCAACGAGUUUUCGCUAAUCUUUUCAAUGAAAUUAUUAGUAUGUACUUCAAGAAUAUAAAAUAAUCCUUUCAAGUAUGUACAGUUAAUACUUGCAUAUAUAAAAUUGCACAUAUAAUUAUAAUAAUAAUCUACACUUACGCACACACACACACACAUAUAUAUGUACAUAAAAUUAUAGUAUCAAUAAAAAUAUAAAAAUAUAAAAUACAGUAUUAAUAAAAAUUAUAUAUAAGCGUAGAAUAUCUCUGUAUAAGAAAAAAAGGAAAAACUAUUAAAUUAAAUCAGAUAAAUACAACGAGAGAUCUAUAGAUCCGUUGAUUUCGAAUCGCUUUCGAAAGAGAUGAUUUAAAAAACUCGAAAGUAAAUACCAUCUACGAAGCGUGUAAUCACGAUGAAUAUCGGAAUCGGAGAAAGGACUGUACUGAGAAAUUUUGGUACGGAGGAUGAUCCGCAAACCGUGACCGAGGUGAAGGAACACGGUGGAUGAUCGCGAUUCGAGAGAGGAACGCGGCCGUUCGCACGAACAUAAAACCGCAACUUGCUUUCCCGCUUUCGUCCUGUUUCUUCUCUUACAAUGAGAAACGACAGACAAAUGUUGAGUAUUUUCUUCGUAUCCUUUCUCUUUCUCUUUCUCUCUUUUUCUUUCUGUCUUUAUCUCUCUUUCUUAUUUUAUUCUUCCCCUUUUCUUUCUACAUCGUUCUUUUUAUUAUCGUUGUUAUUAAAAUGAGAGUGCAUUAUAAUUUAGCUGAUAUAGUCGAGAUAAAUAAAAAAAAAAAAAAAUAAAAAAAAAGAAAAAAGAAAAAAGAAAAAAAGAAAAAGAAAAAAAUAAGAAACAAUUUUGAAUUAAUUUGUUCACGAGGGAAAUCGUGUAAACUCGGUCUUGCACGAGUCGACGAGUCCUUCUUCGACUCGUCAUUAACAUCGAAUGCCUUCUUGGUUCCCGCGUACGGGAGAGAAUGCAACAGGUGAGCUCACUUGAUUUUACAUUGAAAGCUUUCAAGAGGAAAUAAAAAAAGAAAGAAAAAAGAAAAAGAAAGAGAGAGAGAGAGAAAGAGAGAGAACAUUUUCUUCUUUCUUGAUAAUUACUCAUCGUCAAUUUUCACGUGUAAUUCAUGUUACGUUGUGUCGUUGAAUAGAUUAAUUAGAUGCUUCCUAAGACAGAGUAAUCUUAAGAUCAAACCUUUGGAACCCUCUGUAUCUUCUUUCCUAUAUAUAUGUAUAUAUACACGCCCAUAUAUAUGUAUAUAUAUAUGUAUAUAUUCAUACGUAGGAGUAAUUACACGAUGACUUUUCCGACUCUUGGAAAACAAUAGUCCGAGAAAGGGUCGUCCUACUUAUGCCUGCGAAUUCACGGAUAUGUUCAGUUUGAACAAUUUGCCUCAUAAAGUCAGUAGAGAACAUGCAAUUUAUGUAUAUACAUAUACACA
Molecule: long non-coding RNA, 5250 nt
Organism: Vespula vulgaris
Lineage: Eukaryota; Metazoa; Arthropoda; Insecta; Hymenoptera; Vespidae
Exons: 4
Source: RefSeq, a predicted model, not a curated record